Long non-coding RNA from Dendroctonus ponderosae (mountain pine beetle), 770 nucleotides. RefSeq lists it as uncharacterized. The transcript is spliced from 2 exons. Lineage: Eukaryota; Metazoa; Arthropoda; Insecta; Coleoptera; Curculionidae. The record is from RefSeq and is a predicted model, not a curated record.
GACAGAUUAAGACAAUUAGAACGUCAUGGGUUGCUAUGGAAAUCCGCGCGCUACGAGUGUCGGUCAAUUCAUUCUGCGUAGUAGUUUAAUUUCGCAACAUGAAUGGCGCAACUUGCCCUCAUUCAUCUAGUUUUCUCGAUCUCAUUUGCGUGGUUAAAUUUGAUUAAAGUGGACAUCGAUUAAUAACCAUUUAAUUUUUAAGACUUCCUGAUAAAUCCAGUUUCGGACAUACCGGGUGCGUUUGCAAGGUUCACCUGCAUACCGCGAUUUCGAAUCGCUUGCUUGAAAUUGCAAAAAGUGUCUUUUUUACUCGCUCCCUAUAGAAGGCAAAUCGAGCUGCCUUAUCUGCCUUGAAACCGAAAAACCAAUACAAUUUGACAUUAGUUGCCCCACUAGAGCGAUAACGGACAUAUUAUCAGUUCUUGAGUAGUUCUCUAGCGGUCUCUCUCGUGCUCAACGUGGACCGUUUGAGGCGCGAGUGGGACAGAGCACUGAUGUCUUUUUUUAUCUUCGGUCACAUUUCUUUAACUUCACUGUCGAAUGUGUAUUACUCCAAGUGGUGUUCGCUCGACCAAACAGUUCCUAUUGUGAUUGAAAUAUUUAUUAGAAUUGAUUUCCAAUAAUAAUUUAAAUCCGAUAAGCGCGUGUGUGACUGCGGUGAUUUAGUGGAUUGCUUUAACUGAUCAAAAGAUGAUGAAGUCGACCCCAACUGUGUGGUAAGAGCGCGAGGACUCCCGUGGCAGAGCAGCGAUCAGGACAUUGCCAAGUUU